CAGUAGCCGCGGGAAUACGAAGGGUGCAAGCGUUACUCGGAAUUACUGGGCGUAAAGCGUGCGUAGGUGGUGGUUUAAGUCCGUUGUGAAAGCCCUGGGCUCAACCUGGGAAUUGCAGUGGAUACUGGGUCACUAGGGUGUGGUAGAGGAUAGUGGAAUUUCCGGUGUAGCAGUGAAAUGCGUAGAGAUCGGAAGGAACAUCUGUGGCGAAGGCGACUAUCUGGGCCAACACUGACACUGAGGCACGAAAGCGUGGGGAGCAAACAGGAUUAGAUACCCCGGUAGUCCCUGUCUCUUAUAC
RNAcentral lists this ribosomal RNA (301 nucleotides) under uncultured bacterium. Its description in RNAcentral is "partial 16S ribosomal RNA". It matches the Rfam family "Bacterial small subunit ribosomal RNA", at positions 509 to 807 of the family's 1533-position model. The record is from RNAcentral.